UGUGUGUGGUAUAUAAUAUUGAUUAAUUGAUUUUUCUGUGACAGAGAGAAGCCUAAUAAGUACUCUCUCACCACAUAUAAAUACAAAGGUCAUAUAAGUUACGACGUUUAUGCCUUGCUUCUGCAAGCUGGACUACUAUUCAUUCAAGCAGAAUAAGGAGAAGCCAAUCCCCAACCCCAAGAUAUGGGUUUCUUCAGGCCUGCCCUCCUCCUACCGUGGCUCCUCCUAUUGAUCGUCUCGGCAUCGGAAGACGGGGCUGUAGCUGAAGCAGCACGACCAUUAUCGAGCUUCCCCUCAUCGUCCUCCAAGCCAAGAUAUGCAAAGAUUCUUGCGACACUUGGGAUCGUAUGCAAGUGCUGCAACGGGAGCGAGUGCACGAGUACAUGGAACGGGUCCUGCUCUCAGCUCCAGUGUCUGCCAUGGAAGCUGAGUUGAGCUUAACACCUUAUAAUUAUUAGUACUCCAGGAGAUUUUUGUUGUCUCCGAUUCUCAGUUUACCUUUUCUGUCAACUACUGAUGUACAUAUUUGGGUUGGGGAAAGUACAUAUAUUCAUAUCGAAAACUCAGUUACGUUACAUAGAA
Molecule: non-coding RNA, 582 nt
Organism: Punica granatum (pomegranate)
Lineage: Eukaryota; Viridiplantae; Streptophyta; Magnoliopsida; Myrtales; Lythraceae
Source: RefSeq, a predicted model, not a curated record